AAAAACUCCGGUGGUAUGAGAUGGGCCCGCGUCUGAUUAGCUAGUUGGCGGGGUAACGGCCCACCAAGGCGACGAUCAGUAGCCGACCUGAGAGGGUGACCGGCCACAUUGGGACUGAGACACGGCCCAAACUCCUACGGGAGGCAGCAGUGGGGAAUAUUGCACAAUGGGGGAAACCCUGAUGCAGCGACGCCGCGUGAGCGAUGAAGUAUUUCGGUAUGUAAAGCUCUAUCAGCAGGGAAGAAGAUGACGGUACCUGACUAAGAAGCCCCGGCUAACUACGUGCCAGCAGCCGCGGUAAUACGUAGGGGGCAAGCGUUAUCCGGAUUUACUGGGUGUAAAGGGAGCGUAGACGGCGGUGCAAGCCAGAUGUGAAAGCCCGGGGCUCAACCCCGGGACUGCAUUUGGAACUGUAUGGCUGGAGUGUCGGAGAGGCAGGCGGAAUUCCUAGUGUAGCGGUGAAAUGCGUAGAUAUUAGAAGGAACACCAGUGGCGAAGGCGGCCUGCUGGACGAUGACUGACGUUGAGGCUCGAAAGCGUGGGGAGCAAACAGGAUUAGAUACCCUGGUAGUCCACGCCGUAAACGAUGACUACUAGGUGUCGGGCAGCAAAGCUGUUCG
RNAcentral lists this ribosomal RNA (620 nucleotides) under uncultured bacterium. RNAcentral's name for it is "bacterial SSU rRNA". It matches the Rfam family "Bacterial small subunit ribosomal RNA", at positions 202 to 842 of the family's 1533-position model. The record is from RNAcentral.